RNAcentral lists this transfer RNA (72 nucleotides) under Armatimonadota bacterium. Its description in RNAcentral is "Armatimonadetes bacterium (rhizosphere metagenome) tRNA-Ile". It matches the Rfam family "tRNA". Rfam says of the family: Transfer RNA (tRNA) molecules are approximately 80 nucleotides in length. Lineage: Bacteria; Bacillati; Armatimonadota. The record is from RNAcentral.
UCUGCUGUAGCUCAAUGGCAGAGCGCCAUCCUGAUAAGGUGGUAGUUCCAGGUUCGAGUCCUGGCGGCAGAA